RNAcentral lists this unclassified non-coding RNA (286 nucleotides) under Hevea brasiliensis (rubber tree). Lineage: Eukaryota; Viridiplantae; Streptophyta; Magnoliopsida; Malpighiales; Euphorbiaceae. The record is from RNAcentral.
GGGCUCUUUUCACGAUGGGGGCGCUUUGGGCAAGCAGCAUCGCCAUGUACGCCAUCGAGGUCUUUCGUGCGUCGCGCACCAUGAUUGACGAGUCCUCAAAAAGGAAUGUCGAUCNGGCUUGGAUCGUGCGCAUACUGCUCUACAUCGCAGCUCCGAUUACCGCGUUGUUCGUCGCACGCGACGCUCUCAAUUUUAGCGUUUUCCAAAUGAUGGUUACGANNNNNNUGAUCGCCGCGCUGGUCUGCGUUGCCGCUUUCUGGCCGCGCCCACGGUAAUUCUAGAUCAU